Long non-coding RNA from Peromyscus leucopus (white-footed mouse), 1023 nucleotides. RefSeq lists it as uncharacterized. The transcript has 4 exons. The record is from RefSeq and is a predicted model, not a curated record. NCBI's taxonomy places the organism in Eukaryota, Metazoa, Chordata, Mammalia, Rodentia, Cricetidae.
UGGGCCAAGCUGUGCAAAUACAGAAAAGGGGCCUCCAUUAUCCAAAGUACUCAGCUGUGGGAGUUUCUGACCUCACAGUAAAAACAGGUUCCCCUUCCAAACACUGUAUUUGAGCUCAGGUGCCCCGCCUCAGUGCUGUGUGAAGCACUUUCAAUAGUGCACCCAGAUUCUCAGUUUGCAGAAUGUUUCAUACCCACUGGGUGUAUCAGCAGGCACUGGGAUGCAAGGAUGAGGCCUGCGUGGUUCUUACUCUCCAGCUGCUCACAAACAAAGCAAUAGCCUACCACCAGUAUCAAGUUUAUGUGCACCAGUUCCCAGGCGUCUGUACUUCCUGUCAUUUACAGGCGGACCACUCUAGGGCUCUGAGCAGGUACAUUCUGAAUCACCAGUCACCCGCAGCAAAGAAGGUAGACCUUGGGCCAAUGGUAAAGCUGAGAUGCAAAUACAGGAUUCCUGUAUUUACAUGAGUGAAAGGCUGUACAGCUGAUGGAAUCAGGCUCUCCAUCUGAAGGGAAACACUGAGAGCAUGCUGUGCAUCCCCAUCCUCUGCAUUUGCAAGAGCACUCUAGAGCCGUCCCCUGAAAGACAGAAGAACCUCUGACUACUCUGUGCAUGCCCACUGGCUGCAGACCACAGGGUGCAGGGUGGGGGUCACGAUUUCCCUCUGAUGCUCUGACUGCCCUUCCACAUUUUUGAACAGAUUGUAACUAUGGAAAUAAAGUUCUUAAUGAAUACGUCUCACAGUGGCAUUUCCCAACCAGUAACCAGGAGCUCUCUCGUCCAGGGAAAGAAGUUGGCUCCCCUUUUGUAACUUGUGAGGACUGACCAAGCACGCAUCACCACGUACACCCAGAGGAAGAAGGGAAGGGACAGCUUGUUCAAGCCAUUGCUGGUCAGUACCAAGCACAGUUUGCUCUGGCCAUAGUGUGCUGAGAUCUCACGCUUCUUUCUGGAAAAAUACAGUGGAAAUGCCUCGCAUGAGCAAGACACUGAGCUCAGCCUCCCAGCACAGGGAGGCAAACA